This 507-nucleotide ribosomal RNA is filed under the name uncultured bacterium. Its description in RNAcentral is "bacterial SSU rRNA". It matches the Rfam family "Bacterial small subunit ribosomal RNA", at positions 153 to 690 of the family's 1533-position model. The record is from RNAcentral.
GAAACUCAGGCUAAUACCGCAUACGCCCUACGGGGGAAAGGCUUCGGCCGCUAUUGGAUGAGCCUAUGUCUGAUUAGCUUGUUGGUAGGGUAACGGCCUACCAAGGCAACGAUCAGUAGCUGGUCUGAGAGGACGAUCAGCCACACUGGGACUGAGACACGGCCCAGACUCCUACGGGAGGCAGCAGUGGGGAAUAUUGCACAAUGGGCGAAAGCCUGAUGCAGCAAUGCCGCGUGUGUGAAGAAGGCCUGCGGGUUGUAAAGCACUUUCAGUAGGGAGGAUUAUGACGUUACCUACAGAAGAAGCACCGGCUAACUCUGUGCCAGCAGCCGCGGUAAUACAGAGGGUGCGAGCGUUAAUCGGAAUUACUGGGCGUAAAGCGCGCGUAGGCGGCUUGGUCAGUCGGAUGUGAAAAGCCCCGGGCUUAACCUGGGAAUUGCAUUCGAUACUGCCAGGCUUGGAGUGUAGUAAAGGGAAGCGGAAUUCCGGGUGUACCGGUGAAAUGCU